This 4189-nucleotide ribosomal RNA is filed under the name Triticum aestivum (bread wheat). Its description in RNAcentral is "partial small subunit ribosomal RNA". Lineage: Eukaryota; Viridiplantae; Streptophyta; Magnoliopsida; Poales; Poaceae. The record is from RNAcentral.
AGAUUUCGGUUGAGGGGCCCCGAACAAAAAGACAGUCUUUGUUCUGUCCGGGGAAGUUUCUACCUCUUUGACUCCACCUCUAACGUCUACUUCCCAAAACGACCGCACAGCUCACUGCCGGAAUCACCUCCGGAACGUGAGAAAACCCUACUCUUCAACGUUCACUGCCACGAUCUAAGAACACGUGCCAUGUAACUGCACGCCUAACAUCUACACCGUUUACUAUUUUCAACCUCUUUCUACAAACAGAUACCCCUUGGGGCUCAACUUUUGGCAGUAGAGUACACCUCAAGAGAAAGGGUCGAGGCACGCCAAAGCAAUCUCGGCACCAAUCACACACCUCUGAAAUUACUCCGUUACACCGUCGUGCUCGUAUACAGAUCUCGGGUCGCGAGACUUUUAGUCUACCCCAAUAAGGCGCUGACAAACAACCGUACGCUUAAUACCCUGGAGCCAAAGAGCCCAUAGGUAAAUGUAUACUAUUACCCGUCUAACCUCUCUCCUUGCACGCUCAAGCGGAACUAGCUCGGACACGCCUACUCCCCACCUCCCUCGAGAAGGGCCGGCGCGUUCAACAAGUGGAACGAAGCAGUACACUGGUGACAGGCUAGCACCAAGCUAACCGAGAACUCCUAAGCUCCUCCUGAUGUCGGAGAGGAGCCAUACUCUAAUACACCCUUGCGGUGGGCCGCAACAGUCUCCACCACCGCUCACCUACCUCCUUUUCGUUUGGCCGGCCGUUAGACCGCCGCCACGCCCUGCGGGAUGUACUUUACUACUUACCGGAAUCCCGCACCUCAUUCUUCUUAAAGCCGGUACAGUGUCUUAACCUCUUCAAUUCUAGGCUCGACCAACUGGAUGUCGAUUUCCUACGCCUAGCAAGCAACUAAGCGGUCUUCUACCGAGUUGAGUUACUCGACGAUAUAUCCCUUCUCUACUACACCAAUGUCUCUAGCGCGUAAUGCACCGACUUCCUCCCUCUUGCUUAGUGUCGUAUAAACGUAUCCGCUCGACACACCGCCCGCGCCUCCUUGAUGUAUGUCUCUGAAGCCGCAUGACUACCUAGUACCACGAGGAGAGGUAGCCUGUACCUUGCGUACCGAUGAAGGAUGAAGUUCCUUCACAUGUGGUUCCUGGGCUGAGAGUUGGGGCUACAGCAAGAACUCCGAUAACCGGGAUUCCACUGACUUGUCUACUUGCGGUACAAUACACGCGGCAAAUGGCUCCUCCUUCACAGCUUACGUGACAAAGUUUAACCAGGCGAAUUUCGAGGCCCGUGCCUACCGAAGGGCCGUUCCAAGAUAGUUGCCUUAACCCGUCGAGAUUUUAGACUUUAGUGUCGACAACACAACCUCAAGAAACAGAGACCGAGGUACGGUCUUCCCCAAUUACUAUGCCGCUAGCAGGAGUAGGGCUUUCAAGGAGUAGGGUUCCUCGAGUUCCUAAAGUCCGGCUAGUCGGAGACGUUACAAUAAAUGUUCAACCACAGAUUUACAAACCAAUUGGCAGAGGCAGGGACAGACAGCCUCAACUAAAGACUCUUAGUUUCACGAAAAUAAGGCCCGGCCGAGUAGAGCCUAUUAAGAUAUAACGGAAACUCACGUAGGUAGUGUAUGUUAGCAACUUCUUGUGGUCAGCCCGCCGGACGCGCAUGUUUGAGAUAGAAAGUUUCCGCAUGCUAGCCCAGCUGACCCUAAAAGACCUCUUCCGCGACUCAUCUACCCCGAAGAGCCUUGUCACCUAUCGAACCUAUUACAGAACACAGUUUAGACAGGCAAUAAGCCAAUUUGACUUACCCUUUGAAGACCUCCAAAAAAGUGGUAGCGCACCGGAAGCAGUUCCACUGGGUAACAGAGGCAAAAACAAAGAGAAACAGCGACUACGCAAUAGACGAGAGGAUAGAUUUAGUCACUUACUUCCAUCGAACUUGCCCCACUCGUAAACAGCCCCACGUGGCCUCUAUAGAGUAGAGGAGAAACGCCUACUGUGGAACGAUAAAAAACUUCGAAGUCCGGUCGUCCGCUUACAACAAUUUCCAAACAACUUGUGAAUAAGGAGCCGCUGCCCAGUUGAAUAUUUGGGGCUCUUCACAAGGUAGGAAAAAAGACUGUUAACGCCACCCAGUCAGCACCUACUCUAGUUCUCAUGUAACCUCCAUUGCGUUGUCCACAAACUUGGUUUUAUGGAACCUGAGGGCCAGGGACUUCCUUCUCAAGUGUUCCCCGUCAAACUCUGUGACGUUCUAUCUAACUCCUUUUAAGAAUAACUAACCUCACUUGUUAUACAAAGUCCACCUUUAUUUCUCUAAGAAUAGUUCCGGCACCGAGUCCGCUAAGGGUGGAUACAUUACUUACACAAGUUUAACGGCCGGAGACACACACUACUAGAUUGGUUCUACUACGCCGUUAUAACCACCCCCCACCUUUUACCGUUUUCCUUCUACCGGACCAAUUCGACCCUCUCCUACUACAAUGGGUUUCGUUACCCCCCGUACCCUAAGGCUCUGUACUCCCGCAAAUUAGUUCGAGACGAACGGUUCGUCCGAGGACGAACCGCGGAGAAUCUAUCGGGUCUAUCGGAAACACGCUCUAAUAACUUCCGGUUUAUGAUGGGAUCCCCUUUAAACGAACUGUGACAAAAGAGUAGAUUGUCAAGCCGCCAUACCUUCCCAUAACAAGUACCUGAACUAGACCACUUUUUCCCGUAAUAUACCGCGCAACCGUUGCCGUGUUACUAUUUUUCGACCUCUCUACGAACCUAAGGAGCACCAGUGUUAAAGUCUGGCUAGUGAGGAUUUCCCUUGACAGCCAUGUUAGCCCACCGACUAAAAGACUUACUUGUACCUCGUACCCUACACCUUGCCGAAUCCCUCGUAAAAACCCUGUACCUACAGUCCCUCUAGCACUUCUAUGCGUGUAGAGGUUCCUUGCCCGUCCUAAAGUAGCGAACCCGGGGCCUCGCCAGACCUGUCAAGUGACACGCAUCACGAAUAGUAGAUCGUUGCCUUCAGGUCGUGAGGUACGCCGAGUCGAGCAGUUCGUCAUUAAGAAGUCCAGCCUCCGGGUAAACCGUCGCCUAAACCUCGAGAUUUCACGGAGAUUUCUACUCUUAAUACCGGACCUUCGAACAGAGGCCACGAAAUCGAUGUUUACUUACGUUCUUCAUAGCAGUGUAUAGAUGAUCCCUAUCGACAGCCCACACACCGGCUCUUUUCCUCUGAUCGAAAGUACGAGAUCACAGUACACUCGUACGCGUCUCCUAUACCCGAGUCUACUCUUGACAAACCGCAAAUGGCUCGGUCCUCGAGGAAGUACUAUGACCCUUCCUUACCGAAAAUUUGCAGGACCGUUUGACGCUACUAGUGUACGCCCUAACGUGCUAGUACAACUAUACCUCCUAAACCAGCGAUGCUAGCCUGGAAUGUGUGCCUUUCCUACGAGGCAGGCAUUGCCGUUGCAGCCUAAUGGAAGUUUCAAUAUACUUAAGGAACUUGGACACACCAUGAAAGAGGUGCCUACUAUAAGAGUUUCCCUUUUACGAUCGCCAGGCCCUCCGUUUGCGGCUCCAUGGGCGGGGCGGUUAUGGAGAAGUGACCGGCGCUGGCGGGUGCCCUACCCGACGCGAAAGCCACCUACCACGGAAGUACGUUCUCCUGCCCAGCCGCCGUCGUCCAUACUAUGAAGCUUUAGUACUCCCACCACACUAGAAACGCCGUAUGUCUACGUAGAAGUUGACGUUGCUGCGCGACCUUCGCCUUGAUGUACGUUAUUACGUACCAUACCGGAACCGGGACGUCGUGAGUAGGAACGGUUAACACCAAGUCAGUCUGAGUAGAUGCCGUGAUCGACGUUACUGACCCCUGUCGAACAGGUCCAGACAAAUACCCGUAAACCAUGAACUCUAGUUCGCAGUAGAAGUCCUAGUUCUCAAACAAGGUAGUUUUUAUUUCGUACUCGUUUUAUCCCAUCGUGUAGCCAACCGUAACAUAUCAGCAUACCGACCCUUCCUCGGGUGGAACAUAACUCCUCAACCACGGAGAGCUAACAUUGGGAGACUAAUACCUUAUUUUGAGAGAAAGACAGCGUUUUUUUUUUUGCUCUCAAGUACACAAAGUACAUGAACACAUGAAGACGAACUCCUAGUUAAACCGCACUUCUCCGCCUAAUGGGACUCUACGUCUUCCUUAUAU